AUGAACGCUGGCGGCGUGCCUAAUACAUGCAAGUCGAGCGAACAGACGAGGAGCUUGCUCCUCUGACGUUAGCGGCGGACGGGUGAGUAACACGUGGAUAACCUACCUAUAAGACUGGGAUAACUUCGGGAAACCGGAGCUAAUACCGGAUAAUAUAUUGAACCGCAUGGUUCAAUAGUGAAAGACGGUUUUGCUGUCACUUAUAGAUGGAUCCGCGCCGCAUUAGCUAGUUGGUAAGGUAACGGCUUACCAAGGCAACGAUGCGUAGCCGACCUGAGAGGGUGAUCGGCCACACUGGAACUGAGACACGGUCCAGACUCCUACGGGAGGCAGCAGUAGGGAAUCUUCCGCAAUGGGCGAAAGCCUGACGGAGCAACCCCGCGUGAGUGAUGAAGGUCUUCGGAUCGUAAAACUCUGUUAUUAGGGAAGAACAAAUGUGUAAGUAACUAUGCACGUCUUGACGGUACCUAAUCAGAAAGCCACGGCUAACUACGUG
Molecule: ribosomal RNA, 496 nt
Filed under: uncultured bacterium
Lineage: Bacteria
Description: partial 16S ribosomal RNA
Rfam family: Bacterial small subunit ribosomal RNA
Source: RNAcentral